RNAcentral lists this ribosomal RNA (697 nucleotides) under uncultured Providencia sp. Its description in RNAcentral is "bacterial SSU rRNA". It matches the Rfam family "Bacterial small subunit ribosomal RNA", at positions 803 to 1502 of the family's 1533-position model. The record is from RNAcentral. Lineage: Bacteria; Pseudomonadati; Pseudomonadota; Gammaproteobacteria; Enterobacterales; Morganellaceae.
UAAACGAUGUCGAUUUGGAGGUUGUUCCCUGAGGAGUGGCUUCCGGAGCUAACGCGUUAAAUCGACGCUGGGGAGUACGGCCGCAAGGUUAAAACUCAAAUGAAUUGACGGGGGCCCGCACAAGCGGUGGAGCAUGUGGUUUAAUUCGAUGCAACGCGAAGAACCUUACCUACUCUUGACAUCCAGAGAAUUUAGCAGAGAUGCUUUAGUGCCUUCGGGAACUCUGAGACAGGUGCUGCAUGGCUGUCGUCAGCUCGUGUUGUGAAAUGUUGGGUUAAGUCCCGCAACGAGCGCAACCCUUAUCCUUUGUUGCCAGCACAUUAUGGUGGGAACUCAAAGGAGACUGCCGGUGAUAAACCGGAGGAAGGUGGGGAUGACGUCAAGUCAUCAUGGCCCUUACGAGUAGGGCUACACACGUGCUACAAUGGCGUAUACAAAGAGAAGCGACCUCGCGAGAGCAAGCGGAACUCAUAAAGUACGUCGUAGUCCGGAUUGGAGUCUGCAACUCGACUCCAUGAAGUCGGAAUCGCUAGUAAUCGUAGAUCAGAAUGCUACGGUGAAUACGUUCCCGGGCCUUGUACACACCGCCCGUCACACCAUGGGAGUGGGUUGCAAAAGAAGUAGGUAGCUUAACCUUCGGGAGGGCGCUUACCACUUUGUGAUUCAUGACUGGGGUGAAGUCGUAACAAGGUAACCA